UGAAAAACAGUCGUGAGGAGAGAGAGAGAGAGAGAGAGAGAGAGUAGGAGCAUUUCAGUUGAGCCUAUUCUGCCCUGGUUCGUGUUUGCUGCGGUGACACGGUGCCGCACUGAGUGAAGAUUGCGUUCAUAAUCACUUAUCGGGGGUGGAGUGGGGAAAGGAGAGUCAGGAAGUGAGGAUAUUUAUAUUAUUUGACAUAUUAUUUGAUAGCAUGUCAACUUUUGUGUGUGUGUGUGUGUGUGUGGGGGUGGGUGUUGGAUCAGUGACAGGUGGCGCUGGGGAGUUACCACGGCGAGCGGCUGGCUGGCUGCAGUGUUUUGGUCAGCACUGGUCAAUCUCGCCCUACACGCUCUAUUAACCAGUGUUUCCGUCUUCCCGACACCUUCUUCCUGCACCAAGCACCGUCAAGCAUCACCAGAGAGGCACGAGUACGUAAGCUAUCCAACAUCAGAACAGUAUAUGAAUAUGGCAAAUGCUGUUUUGACAUCAUUUCCUACCAUCCUGAGAAACACUGAUCUCGAGGAGCAUGAAUUGCAGCUGCAAUGGAAAUUGCGCAUCCAGCACAAGUUUCAGAAUUCAAGAAAGAGGCAGGAUUCCUCAGUGACUGAGGUGAUGUCAAGGAAAAAGAAGAUCCCUUGCAUAGCACCAAAAGAGACUACGUGUCCCACUGAUGUGUGGAGUAAAGGCUUACCUUCCACCAAGGCCCCAUUCAGAAGAUGAUGAGUCAUUAGAGGGACAUAGACAGUGGCUUGCUCUACAUUGGAUGAAGAAAGAUCCCGAGUUAGAUAAGGCUGAACACCUCAUGCAGUUGACACUUUCUGAGACGCAAAAAAAUAAUCAAUGGGAACAUUCUUGUAGCAGAAAUCCUGAACUUGUACCCGUGGAUUCAGACUUUUGAUGGCAUAAUCAAGGAGUUCCUGAGAUUAGAACCACAAACGGAUGAACCAGACCCAAGAGUAGCAGUUUUGAAAGGGCUGGAGAAAUAUAGGCUCUCAAUAAUUGCCAUUCUCAAAAAAAGAAAAGCAGUUCCUCUGUACAUGGAAACCUUACUUGAACUCUAUGACCACGAUGAAAGUCAAUAUGCUUGCUUAGUUAUAUUGGGGUUACUUCACCUGCUUGGAGAAAGGAAAGACUCCAUUUUUACUAAGGUACCAGAAGAAGAACUAAGAACAGGGCAGUCUAGUGUGUAUUUGAUGGUGCACCUGUAGCUGAACCAACAUGUAUUUCUAUGGCUGUAGUCUCAUUGGUAGCAGGGCUUUGUGUUUAAUAUUGAAUACCCAAAAAUUGUGAACAUUUCCUCCGUUUCACAACAUCCCAUCUCUUAGGUAUCAAGUAUGACAAAGGUAACACUUCAAAAACAAGAUCUCUACUUGUAAAACUCAAUGAAGUAAAGACAGAAUUGAGCUACAAAAAUGCAUAAAUCUGCUUCCAAAUAUAUUCAACUCCACACAUAAUGCUCUCUCUCUCUCUCUCUCUCUCUCUCUCUCUCUCUCUCUCUCUCUCUCUCUCUCUCUCUCUCUCUCUCUCUCUCUCUCUCUCUCUCUCUCUCUCUCUCUCUCUCUCUCUCUCUCUCUCUCACACACACACACACACACACACACACACACACACACACACACACACACACACA
Long non-coding RNA from Scylla paramamosain (green mud crab), 1630 nucleotides. RefSeq lists it as uncharacterized. The transcript has 6 exons. Lineage: Eukaryota; Metazoa; Arthropoda; Malacostraca; Decapoda; Portunidae. The record is from RefSeq and is a predicted model, not a curated record.